This 252-nucleotide ribosomal RNA is filed under the name uncultured bacterium. Its description in RNAcentral is "partial 16S ribosomal RNA". It matches the Rfam family "Bacterial small subunit ribosomal RNA", at positions 524 to 776 of the family's 1533-position model. The record is from RNAcentral.
GACAGAGGUGCCGAGCGUAGGCGGAAUCACUGGGCUUAAAGCGUGUGUAGGCGGAUCGUUAAGUACCUUGUGAAAUCCCACGGCUUAACCGUGGAACUGCUGGGUAUACUGGCGAUCUUGAGCCACCUAGGGGCAACCGGAACAAAUGGUGGAGCGGUGAAAUGCGUAGAUAUCAUUUGGAACGCCAAUGGUGAAAACAGGUUGCUGGGGGUGUGCUGACGCUGAGACACGAAAGCCAGGGGAGCGAACGGG